Molecule: transfer RNA, 72 nt
Filed under: Medicago truncatula (barrel medic)
Lineage: Eukaryota; Viridiplantae; Streptophyta; Magnoliopsida; Fabales; Fabaceae
Description: sRNA gene18135
Source: RNAcentral
GAGCUUUGCUCAGUUGGUAGGGACAAAUGCAUUUUACAUGCAGGGGCCGGGGUUCGAAUCCCGGACACCUCA